This 534-nucleotide ribosomal RNA is filed under the name uncultured Acidobacteriota bacterium. Its description in RNAcentral is "bacterial SSU rRNA". It matches the Rfam family "Bacterial small subunit ribosomal RNA", at positions 8 to 522 of the family's 1533-position model. Lineage: Bacteria; Pseudomonadati; Acidobacteriota. The record is from RNAcentral.
AGAGUUUGAUCAUGGCUCAGAACGAACGCUGGCGGCGUGCCUAACACAUGCAAGUCGAACGCGAAAGGGGGCAACCCCCGGUAGCGUGGCAGACGGGUGAGUAACACGUGGGUAACCUACCCGGAGGUGGGGGAUAACCCUUCGAAAGGAGGGCUAAUACCGCAUAACAUCGAGGAGACCUCGGUCUUCGCGAUCAAAGCUGGCCUCUGUUUACAAGCUAGCGCCACCGGAGGGGCCCGCGCCCCAUUAGCUAGUUGGUGAGGUAACGGCUCACCAAGGCGACGAUGGGUAGCCGGCCUGAGAGGGCGACCGGCCACACUGGAACUGCGACACGGUCCAGACUCCUACGGGAGGCAGCAGUGAGGAAUCUUGCGCAAUGGGCGAAAGCCUGACGCAGCGACGCCGCGUGGAGGAUGAAGGUCUUCGGAUUGUAAACUCCUGUCGAGUGGGACGAAUGCCGUGAGGGUGAACAAUCCUUACGGUUGACGGUACCGUUGAAGAAGCCCCGGCUAACUCGUGCCAGCAGCCGCGGUA